UCUGUAGCUCAGCUGGAUAGAGCAACGGCCUUCUAAGCCGUGGGUCGGGGGUUCGAAUCCCUUCAGGC
RNAcentral lists this transfer RNA (68 nucleotides) under human gut metagenome. It matches the Rfam family "tRNA", at positions 5 to 66 of the family's 71-position model. Rfam says of the family: Transfer RNA (tRNA) molecules are approximately 80 nucleotides in length. Their secondary structure includes four short double-helical elements and three loops (D, anti-codon, and T loops). The record is from RNAcentral. RNAcentral also lists the same sequence under 1 other name.